RNAcentral lists this ribosomal RNA (875 nucleotides) under uncultured marine group I thaumarchaeote. Its description in RNAcentral is "bacterial SSU rRNA". It matches the Rfam family "Archaeal small subunit ribosomal RNA", at positions 21 to 903 of the family's 1478-position model. Lineage: Archaea; Thermoproteati; Nitrososphaerota. The record is from RNAcentral.
CCUGACUGCUAUCGGAUUGAUACUAAGCCAUGCGAGUCAUUGUAGUAAUACAAGGCAGACGGCUCAGUAACGCGUAGUCAACCUAACCUAUGGAUGGGAAUAACCUCGGGAAACUGAGUAUAAUGCCCGAUAGAACAUUAUGCCUGGAAUGGUUUAUGUUCCAAAUGAUUUAUCGCCGUAGGAUGGGACUGCGGCCUAUCAGUUUGUUGGUGAGGUAAUGGCCCACCAAGACUAUUACAGGUACGGGCUCUGAGAGGAGUGGCCCGGAGAUGGGUACUGAGACACGGACCCAGGCCCUAUGGGGCGCAGCAGGCGAGAAAACUUUGCAAUGUGCGAAAGCACGACAAGGUUAAUCCGAGUGGUUUCUGCUAAGGGAACCUUUUGUCGGUCCUAGAAACACCGAUGAAUAAGGGGUGGGCAAGUUCUGGUGUCAGCCGCCGCGGUAAAACCAGCACCUCAAGUGGUCAGGAUGAUUAUUGGGCCUAAAGCAUCCGUAGCCGGCUUUGUUAGUUUUCGGUUAAAUCUGUACGCUUAACGUACAGGCUGCCGGGAAUACUGCAGAACUAGGGAGUGGGAGAGGUAGACGGUACUCGGUAGGAAGGGGUAAAAUCCUUUGAUCUAUUGAUGACCACCUGUGGCGAAGGCGGUCUACCAGAACACGUCCGACGGUGAGGGAUGAAAGCUGGGGGAGCAAACCGGAUUAGAUACCCGGGUAGUCCCAGCUGUAAACUAUGCAAACUCAGUGAUGCAUUGGCUUGUGGCCAAUGCAGUGCUGCAGGGAAGCCGUUAAGUUUGCCGCCUGGGAAGUACGUACGCAAGUAUGAAACUUAAAGGAAUUGGCGGGGGAGCACCACAAGGGGUGAAGCCUGCGGUUC